GCCGAACUAGCUCAGUCGGUAGAGCAGCUGUUUCGUAAACAGCAGGUCGUCGGUUCGAGUCCGACGUUCGGCUCCA
Molecule: transfer RNA, 76 nt
Filed under: Thermomicrobiales bacterium
Lineage: Bacteria; Pseudomonadati; Thermomicrobiota; Thermomicrobia; Thermomicrobiales
Description: tRNA-Thr
Rfam family: tRNA
About the family: Transfer RNA (tRNA) molecules are approximately 80 nucleotides in length. Their secondary structure includes four short double-helical elements and three loops (D, anti-codon, and T loops).
Source: RNAcentral